CGGUCGUUAGCUCAGUUGGUAGAGCAGUUGACUUUUAAUCAAUUGGUCGCAGUCGAAUCUGCACGACCCACCA
RNAcentral lists this transfer RNA (73 nucleotides) under Klebsiella pneumoniae. Its description in RNAcentral is "tRNA-Lys". It matches the Rfam family "tRNA". From Rfam's summary of the family: Transfer RNA (tRNA) molecules are approximately 80 nucleotides in length. Lineage: Bacteria; Pseudomonadati; Pseudomonadota; Gammaproteobacteria; Enterobacterales; Enterobacteriaceae. The record is from RNAcentral.